AUUGAACGCUGGCGGCAGGCCUAACACAUGCAAGUCGAGCGAGCGGCGGACGGGUGAGUAAUGUAUGGGGACUGCCCGAUAGAGGGGGAUAACUACUGGAGACGGUAGCUAAUACCGCAUACUAUCGGAUAACCCAUAUGGGAUUAGCUGGUAGGUGAGGUAAUGGCUCACCUAGGCGAGGAUCCCUAGCUGGGCGGAGAGGAUGAGCAGCCAACCUGGAACUGAGACACGGCCCAGACUCCUAGGGAGGCAGCAGUGGGGAAUAUUGCACAAUGGGCGCAAGCCUGAUGCAGCCAUGCCGCGUGUAUGAAGAAGGCCCUAGGGUUGUAAAGUACUUUAAUUCGGGAGGCGUUACCGACAGAAGAAGCACCGGCUAACUCCGUGCCAGCCGCCGCGGUAAUUC
Molecule: ribosomal RNA, 403 nt
Filed under: uncultured bacterium
Lineage: Bacteria
Description: partial 16S ribosomal RNA
Rfam family: Bacterial small subunit ribosomal RNA
Source: RNAcentral